CCAGACUCCUACGGGAGGCAGCAGUGAGGAAUAUUGGUCAAUGGGCUUACGCCUGAACCAGCCAAGUCGCGUGAGGGAAGACUGCCCUAUGGGUUGUAAACCUCUUUUGUCAGGGAGCAACGCCGGCUACGUGUAGCCGGACUGAGAGUACCUGAAGAAAAAGCAUCGGCUAACUCCGUGCCAGCAGCCGCGGUAAUACGGAGGAUGCGAGCGUUAUCCGGAUUUAUUGGGUUUAAAGGGUGCGUAGGCGGCGCUGCAGGUCAGCGGUGAAAUACCGGGGCUCAACCCCGGGGCUGCCGUUGAAACUGUCGGACUAGAGACGGCGAGAAGUACGCGGAAUGCGCGGUGUAGCGGUGAAAUGCAUAGAUAUCGCGCAGAACUCCGAUUGCGAAGGCAGCGUACCGGCGCCGGACUGACGCUGAGGCACGAAAGCGUGGGUCUCGAACAGGAUUAGAUACCCCGGUAC
This 466-nucleotide ribosomal RNA is filed under the name uncultured bacterium. RNAcentral describes it as "partial 16S ribosomal RNA". It matches the Rfam family "Bacterial small subunit ribosomal RNA", at positions 331 to 793 of the family's 1533-position model. The record is from RNAcentral.